Molecule: transfer RNA, 73 nt
Filed under: Urocitellus parryii (Arctic ground squirrel)
Lineage: Eukaryota; Metazoa; Chordata; Mammalia; Rodentia; Sciuridae
Also listed under: 2 other names
Description: Spermophilus parryii (Arctic ground squirrel) tRNA
Rfam family: tRNA
About the family: Transfer RNA (tRNA) molecules are approximately 80 nucleotides in length. Their secondary structure includes four short double-helical elements and three loops (D, anti-codon, and T loops).
Source: Rfam by way of RNAcentral
GGGGUUGUGGCUCAGUGUGGUGUAGAGCACUUGCCUAGCACACAUGAGGCACUGGUUUCAAUCCUCAGCACCA